GUGGAAAAGGCUUGUCUUUAGUAUGAUUUUGAGCAUAGGUACAUCUACACUUUCACUGGAAUAGAGGACUGGCCUCCUCAAUCUUUGUAGUACCAGACCUGAAACUGCAGCAUCAUGGAAACCGAGUAUUCUAAAAGGGUCUAUCAAGGGGUUAGGGUCAAGCACACAGUGAAAGAUCUACUGGCAGAGAAACGACAAAAUCAAACAAAUGGACCAAGAUAUAAUGGAGGAACAUCCAGCCAAUCAUCAUUUGUCCAAAUGCCAGG
Coregonus clupeaformis (lake whitefish) is the source of this 266-nucleotide long non-coding RNA. RefSeq lists it as uncharacterized. NCBI's taxonomy places the organism in Eukaryota, Metazoa, Chordata, Actinopteri, Salmoniformes, Salmonidae. The transcript is spliced from 3 exons. The record is from RefSeq and is a predicted model, not a curated record.